GACGAUUCCUGCAGGGAAACACUGAAGUACUGUAAACAGUCAACCGUCUGCCUACCUGAACUAAUCCCCUGUCUGACAUCACAGCACUAUGCUCAACAGGAACGUUGUUCUUCUGUUCUCUCUGUUCUCUCUGCUCAUCGUGCUGGUGGAGGGAGACAUCGACUCCAGCGAUGCUGGAAUACAUGCCACAUCGACAGACAAAGAUUCUACAUCUGAUGAAGCUCCUACAGAGAGCAUAAACGCCAUCUCUCCUGAUCACCCUGAUGAAUCACAUUAUUACGGAGGAGGACCUUCAGACGUCAGCAGCUCCAGUUCACAGGCAGCAGACAAACCUGCUGUAGCUGCUCCAAACAGUGUGGAAGAAGAAGAUGAUGACUCUGAAGAAUUAGGGAAGAAAAAGUCCAGCUCUAGUUUGGCUAACCCGCAGAACUCCGCCCUCAACCACCAGAGUCCCGACCAUGCCAUUGAAAGCCCCGCCCUCCCACCACAGCCGGUAAUCCCUCAGCCCAAAACCCUGGUGAGGAGCCGAACGUCCAAGAGACGAUCCAGGAACAACCGCCGCCACAUAUAGAACAUCAACAGUCACAGUUAGAACACAAUGUUAAACCAAAUAAAACCCAAACGCACACAGAUCUGUCACAUGAUUAACACACACUCAUACGACACAUAAACUCACCUGAACACUCAAAGCAGGUUGACCUUCAGUUUCUAAAACUACCAGCAAAUUCAACUUGGUAGAAUCACCAAGCCAUCUGAUUUAUUCCAGGGUUGAGUGAAACUGCUGUCCAGAAUCCAGGGGUCAUAUUCAUUAUAUACAACAGAUAAACUCCAUGGAAAAAAGCAUUGGUCCACUCAGUCUCUUAAGGUGUUUUAACAUAUUUAACAUUAUUAUUCUGCUCUCAAUCAGAAGUUGUAAAAGUUUGGCUUACAAAAAAGAAAUACAUGAAAGACAUGAUGUCUUUUCUUUUCACACAGAAAAACCAAACUGUCACUACAAACCCUGUGAGAACCUUUAGUCUGCUUGUCUGCCAGAUGUUUGGGGCAGGAGCAAGAAAUGUAAGAACAGGAAGAAGGUUUUGGGUUCUUUCCCAGUGAUAAACAUGAAGGACCAUGAACUUAGAUUAAUUUUACGGCCAGGUGCUAGAUUGACUGUAUGUUUACUCUGCGUAAGAAAGAAAACGAAACAGAGCUCAAUUUAAUCGGAUUGAACACAGCAGGUGUGAAAAAUCUUCAUCUUUUUAAUUCAGGUGUUUUCAGUUCCAUUUCACAGGUGUAUAUAAUCCAACAGCUAGCCAGCCAGUCUGCCUUUACAAACAUUUGUGAAAGAACUAACUGAAUUUAAGUAUACCACUACAUCAGGAUACCAUGUUUGCAACAAGUCAGUUCGUAGAAUUUCUUCCCUUUAGAUGUUCUGCGUCAGCUUUACGUACUGUUAUUGCAAAGUGGAAGCAUUUAGGAACCACAGCAGCUCAGCCAUGAAGUGUCAGACCAACUUUUAUCUUUGGCCCUAAUGUAUUUCAUUGGCGUUGACCCCUGGAUCAAGCAGACCUCGGAGUAUUAAACCUGCUCAGUUUAUCUGUUUGCUGUUUUUAUUCUUUCUUUUAUAUGUGUGUUCCUGAAACAUUUAAACAUUUGUGAUGGUAAUUUCUUCUGAUUGCUUCAUUUAUCAGAUUUAAAUAAAGUUAAA
This is a long non-coding RNA of Oreochromis niloticus (Nile tilapia), 1687 nucleotides long. RefSeq lists it as uncharacterized. The record is from RefSeq and is a predicted model, not a curated record. NCBI's taxonomy places the organism in Eukaryota, Metazoa, Chordata, Actinopteri, Cichliformes, Cichlidae. The transcript has 9 exons.